Long non-coding RNA from Mesocricetus auratus (golden hamster), 340 nucleotides. RefSeq lists it as uncharacterized. The transcript has 2 exons. The record is from RefSeq and is a predicted model, not a curated record. NCBI's taxonomy places the organism in Eukaryota, Metazoa, Chordata, Mammalia, Rodentia, Cricetidae.
GCUAUUUUGUCUCCUUGGUGACAAGGAGUAUGUUGAGCAGGCCUGGCCACCUCCCUCUGUCCCGUAACCAGAACAGUCAUGGAGUGGCUAUGUGCCCCUGGGAAGAGAAGUCUUCUCUGGGCCUCUGCCACCAGCUCUGGAUCCACAUUCCCCUCUGGAUGUGACCACUGUCUCUGGAUCACCAUGGAUCCUCCCUCGACGCUCAGGAAGGCUGCCAGCUGCUGCCGCCACCGCCUUCUUAUGUUUCUCCUCCUGUCGCCUCCGCUUGCGCAGGCAGUAGUAAACGGCGCCCAGAACGAGCACCAUGCCGAAGAGGCAGCCCAGGAUGGUCAUGAUAUAG